CAUAGGAACUACUCUACAUCAUCAUAUGGGGUAACUACUACAUAGGAACUACUCUACAUCAGUGGAGUUUGCCUUUUCACGAAGAUGCUGGAAGUCUCGAUGAUGUUAUCAGACUGCACUGAACACCCACGUGAUAUAACAGAGCCAUAGCACAAGUCACAUGGACUUCUAAAGGAAGAAUUAACGAAAACAAAACAAAAAACUUUUAAGAAGAAAAAAAGUUUGAUGUUGGAAAUUAAUAAUUUAAGAUUUUUAAGACCAG
Long non-coding RNA from Ostrea edulis (European flat oyster), 262 nucleotides. RefSeq lists it as uncharacterized. The record is from RefSeq and is a predicted model, not a curated record. Lineage: Eukaryota; Metazoa; Mollusca; Bivalvia; Ostreida; Ostreidae. The transcript has 2 exons.